Molecule: unclassified non-coding RNA, 337 nt
Filed under: soil metagenome
Description: partial contains 5.8S ribosomal RNA, internal transcribed spacer 2, and large subunit ribosomal RNA
Rfam family: 5.8S ribosomal RNA (bases 1-120)
Source: RNAcentral
GAUGAAGAACGCAGCGAAAUGCGAUAAGUAGUGUGAAUUGCAGAAUUCAGUGAAUCAUCGAAUCUUUGAACGCACAUUGCGCCCUUUGGUAUUCCAAAGGGCAUGCCUGUUCGAGCGUCAUUUGUACCCUCAAGCUUUGCUUGGUGUUGGGCGUCUUGUCUCCAGUUCGCUGGAGACUCGCCUUAAAGUAAUUGGCAGCCGGCCUACUGGUUUCGGAGCGCAGCACAAGUCGCGCUCUCUUCCAGCCAAGGUCAGCAUCCACAAAGCCUUUUUUCAACUUUUGACCUCGGAUCAGGUAGGGAUACCCGCUGAACUUAAGCAUACAAUAAGCGGAGGA